CCCUUAGAUGUUCUGGGCCGCACGCGCGCUACACUGAUGCAUUCAACGAGUCUAAAACCUGCUCUGAUAGGGGUGGGUAAUCUUUUGAAUGUGCAUCGUGAUUGGGAUAGAUGAUUGCAAUUUUUCAUCUUCAACGAGGAAUGCCUAGUAAACACAAGUCAUCAGCUUGCAUUGAUUACGUCCCUGCCCUUUGUACACACCGCCCGUCGCUCCUACCGAUUGAAUGAUCCGAUGAAUAUCAUGGAUUGAGGAUUAUAGCAGGUUCGCCUGUCUUGAUCUUCGAGAAGUGAAGUAAAUCUUAUCAUUUAGAGGAAGGAGAAGUCGUAACA
RNAcentral lists this ribosomal RNA (329 nucleotides) under uncultured eukaryote. RNAcentral's name for it is "partial 18S ribosomal RNA". It matches the Rfam family "Eukaryotic small subunit ribosomal RNA", at positions 1470 to 1796 of the family's 1831-position model. The record is from RNAcentral.